UUUGCAAUUUUUCUUCUGUUGUUUCUCUCUUUCUCACCCUUUCUCUCUGUAAUUUCAGUGAAGUAGAGGCAGUCGUGCUGCUGUGGACAGUGUGUUGCUCACCAGAGCCUCCAGAGACCCGACUGGACUCCUCUGCAGGUAUGACAGAAAAAUGUCCUGAAAGAGGUCAGUCCUUCCAGGCUGUGGAAGAAGAGGGCCUUUGAUUUGACUGUUUGUCUGCGGCUGGCCGUGAUGGAGUGGAGAGCUUUCAGAUCUCUCAGCCCGUCCUGAGGAGGCAAGACUAAUAAAGCAGUGAAAGGUCAGACGUGAUUGAUGCUC
This 318-nucleotide long non-coding RNA is filed under the name Astyanax mexicanus (Mexican tetra). RNAcentral's name for it is "lncRNA (ENSAMXG00005009734.1)". The record is from RNAcentral. Lineage: Eukaryota; Metazoa; Chordata; Actinopteri; Characiformes; Acestrorhamphidae.